ACAAGCAUUUUCAGCCACAAAAUUGACUUAAAAGCAAAACGAGGUCGCGAUUGACUGAUUCAAAUUUGAAGAAUUCUCUUCUGCUCUCAGUAACUAAUUUAACUCCAAACAUUAAAAGCUUGGUGAAAUCAAAACAGACUCAAAACUCUCAUUAAGAUACAACAUGGAACAGGCCAGUCUACCCUUUUGAACCGCACCAUCCGGCAACCCCGAUUUAACCCUCGCCCUGUCAUGGGACAAUUUACAACGAUCAAUCAACUUACCCACCGCUAUGCGUUUGGACUGUGGGAGGAAACUGGAGGAAACCCACACAUUCCAUGGGGAGGACGUCUAGACUCCUUACAGAGAGAAGAUGCCAGAACAGGGCUGUGACCCGACGAAGGCCGUGGAAAUCGAUGGAGGAUCGGUGAAGGGGAAACCGUGAGGCUCAACUUGUGCACGUUAGACUGUUUUUUUUUGCUUUUUCUUCACUAACCCUGCAAUCAAAUUAAGAAUUAUAAAGCCAAAUCCUUUAAUUGUAUGCAGCGUACUGUCUGUUAUUUUGUGGUACUGAUUUGUA
This is a long non-coding RNA of Hypanus sabinus (Atlantic stingray), 559 nucleotides long. RefSeq lists it as uncharacterized. Lineage: Eukaryota; Metazoa; Chordata; Chondrichthyes; Myliobatiformes; Dasyatidae. The record is from RefSeq and is a predicted model, not a curated record. The transcript has 3 exons.